RNAcentral lists this small RNA (29 nucleotides) under Bombyx mori (domestic silkworm). RNAcentral's name for it is "ovarian small RNA-28588". The record is from RNAcentral. Lineage: Eukaryota; Metazoa; Arthropoda; Insecta; Lepidoptera; Bombycidae.
UCGCAGCUCGCGAGAUGUUACAUGAAAGA